AGAGACCUCAAGCGUUACCCGGAAUUAUUGGGCGUAAAGCGUCCGCAGGCGGUUGAUCAAGUCAGGUAUUAAAUCCCGAAGCUUAACUUCGGGGCUGUGCUUGAAACUAAUCGACUAGAGGGAAGAAGAGGCACGUGGAAUUCCCGGUGUAGGGGUUACAUCCGUUAAUAUCGGGGAGAACACCAUUUGCGAAGGCGACGUGCUGGGCUUCUCCUGACGCUCAGGGACGAAAGCGUGGGUAGCGAAUGGAAUUAGAUACUCCAGUAGUCCACGCCCUAAACGAUGGAUGCUAGACAUGAGAAGUUCGACCCCUUCUAGUGCCCUGAAGCUAACGCGUUAAGCAUCCCGCCUGGGAAGUACGGCCGCAAGGCUA
This 373-nucleotide ribosomal RNA is filed under the name uncultured organism. Its description in RNAcentral is "partial 16S ribosomal RNA". It matches the Rfam family "Bacterial small subunit ribosomal RNA", at positions 527 to 896 of the family's 1533-position model. The record is from RNAcentral.